This 615-nucleotide ribosomal RNA is filed under the name Macrolycus murzini. Its description in RNAcentral is "partial 16S large subunit ribosomal RNA". It matches the Rfam family "Archaeal large subunit ribosomal RNA", at positions 1896 to 2789 of the family's 2987-position model. The record is from RNAcentral. Lineage: Eukaryota; Metazoa; Arthropoda; Insecta; Coleoptera; Lycidae.
UUAACAAAAACAUGUCCUUUUGAUUUUUAUUUAAGGUCUAAUCUGCUCAAUGAUAUUUAAAUUGCCGCAGUAUUUUAACUGUGCGAAGGUAGCAUAAUAAUUAGUUUCUUGAUUAGAAGCUGGAAUGAAUGAUUGGACGAAAAAAUUUCUGUCUCAUUUUAAUGUUUUAUUGAAUUUUAUUUUUAAGUUAAAAAGCUUAAAUAAUUAUGAAAGACGAGAAGACCCUAUAGAGUUUAAUAUCAAAGUUUAAUAUUAUCUUAGAAAUUAAUUUUAAUCUUUAGUAUUUAGUUGGGGUGACUUGGAGAUUUAUUUAAUUCUCUAAAUUUUUAAUUGAUGAUUAUUAAUUUUUUGAUCUGUAAAUUAUAAAUUUAAAAAUAAUUACCUUAGGGAUAACAGCGUAAUUUUUCUUAAAAGUUCUUAUUUAAAGAAGAUUUUGCGACCUCGAUGUUGGAUUAAAAUAAAUUUUUGGUGCAGUAACUUAAAAAUUAGGUCUGUUCGACCUUUAAAAUUUUACAUGAUCUGAGUUUAAACCGGUGUAAGCCAGGUUGGAUUCUAUCUUUAGUAAAUUAAUACAUUUUAGUACGAAAGGACCAAGUGUUUAUUAAAUAUUAAUUG